RNAcentral lists this unclassified non-coding RNA (249 nucleotides) under Cyperus diffusus. RNAcentral describes it as "ITS2". Lineage: Eukaryota; Viridiplantae; Streptophyta; Magnoliopsida; Poales; Cyperaceae. The record is from RNAcentral.
GCCCAUCAACGCUCGGUCACCCCUCCAUGUACCUCGUGGCAGGGGACCCGACCAGACGCGGACAUUGGCCCUCCGAGUUUUAAACAACACGGUGGGCUCAAGUGCAUGGCCGUCGAUGGUGUCGGGAGCGGCGAGUGGUGGACUGCUUCGCACGCCAACCCCGACCCCUGUAUCGACGUAUGACCCUUUUUGACUCCCAAACAAGGAGGCUGUCGGUGCGGCGUCUCUGCCGUUCGGCAUCUUCGGACC